GAUGAACGCUGGCGGCGUGCCUAAUACAUGCAAGUCGAGCGAACAGAUGAGGAGCUUGCUCCUCUGACGUUAGCGGCGGACGGGUGAGUAACACGUGGAUAACCUACCUAUAAGACUGGGAUAACUUCGGGAAACCGGAGCUAAUACCGGAUAAUAUAUUGAACCGCAUGGUUCAAUAGUGAAAGACGGUUUUGCUGUCACUUAUAGAUGGAUCCGCGUCGGAUUAGCUAGUUGGUAAGGUAACGGCUUACCAAGGCAACGAUGCGUAGCCGACCUGAGAGGGUGAUCGGCCACACUGGAACUGAGACACGGUCCAGACUCCUACGGGAGGCAGCAGUAGGGAAUCUUCGGCAAUGGGCGAAAGCCUGACGGAGCAACGCCGCGUGGGUGAUGAAGGUCUUCGGAUCGUAAAGCUCUGUUAUUAGGGAAGAAAAGAUGUGUAAGUAACUAUGCACGUCUUGACGGUACCUAAUCAGAAAGCCACGGCUAACUACGUG
This 497-nucleotide ribosomal RNA is filed under the name uncultured bacterium. RNAcentral's name for it is "partial 16S ribosomal RNA". It matches the Rfam family "Bacterial small subunit ribosomal RNA", at positions 28 to 507 of the family's 1533-position model. The record is from RNAcentral.